CGGUUGCAUCCUGCGAAUCCCUUGGAAACUUGGGAGUGCCUUCGGGAGCGCAGUGACAGGUGGUGCAUGGCUGUCGUCAGCUCGUGUCGUGAGAUGUUGGGUUAAGUCCCGCAACGAGCGCAACCCACGUCUUUAGUUGCCAGCAUUUAGUUGGGCACUCUAGAGAGACCGCCGGUGAUAAACCGGAGGAAGGUGUGGAUGACGUCAAGUCAUCAUGCCCCUUACAUCCUGGGCUACACACGUACUACAAUGCUACGGACAAAGGGCAGCAAACUCGCGAGAGCUAGCAAAUCCCAUAAACCGUGGCUCAGUUCAGAUCGUAGGCUGCAACUCGCCUACGUGAAGGAGGAAUCGCUAGUAAUCGCAGGUCAGCAUACUGCGGUGAAUACGUUCCCGGGUCUUUGUACACACCGA
This 414-nucleotide ribosomal RNA is filed under the name uncultured bacterium. RNAcentral describes it as "bacterial SSU rRNA". It matches the Rfam family "Bacterial small subunit ribosomal RNA", at positions 976 to 1393 of the family's 1533-position model. The record is from RNAcentral.